GGCCAGACUCCUACGGGAGGCAGCAGUGAGGAAUAUUGGUCAAUGGGCUUACGCCUGAACCAGCCAAGUCGCGUGAGGGAAGACUGCCCUAUGGGUUGUAAACCUCUUUUGUCAGGGAGCAACGCCGGCUACGUGUAGCCGGACUGAGAGUACCUGAAGAAAAAGCAUCGGCUAACUCCGUGCCAGCAGCCGCGGUAAUACGGAGGAUGCGAGCGUUAUCCGGAUUUAUUGGGUUUAAAGGGUGCGUAGGCGGACUGUUAAGCCGGCGGUAAAGCCCGGGGCCUCACCCCCGGCGAGCCGUUGAAACUGGCUAUCUUGAGAUGUCGAGGGGUAUGCGGAAUGCGCAGUGUAGCGGUGAAAUGCUUAGAUAUUGCGCAGAACUCCGAUUGCGAAGGCAGCAUACCGGCGGCGAUCUGACGCUGAGGCACGAAAGCGUGGGUAUCGAACAGGAUUAGAUACCCCCGUA
Molecule: ribosomal RNA, 466 nt
Filed under: uncultured bacterium
Lineage: Bacteria
Description: bacterial SSU rRNA
Rfam family: Bacterial small subunit ribosomal RNA
Source: RNAcentral